This 321-nucleotide long non-coding RNA is filed under the name Elaeis guineensis (African oil palm). RNAcentral describes it as "long non-coding RNA (EGUI_LNC052557)". Lineage: Eukaryota; Viridiplantae; Streptophyta; Magnoliopsida; Arecales; Arecaceae. The record is from RNAcentral.
AUUGAAUUGGAUUUAGUUUGACUUAGAUUGGAUUUGAUUUGAUCAAGCUUAAUUGCAAGAAAAAUUUGAUCCUGAUUUGAUCAGGACUUGGGCUCAGCUAAUUUCUAAUUGGGUUAGAAAAUUGUUGAGAUGAAUAGGUUCUUAAUUAGAUUAAGGUCAUUUCUCUCAUUGGAUUUAAAUCAGAAUUGAUUUGGUUUAGAAUCAAAUUGAAAAUAAAGAGUCUCAGUCAACAGAGACUCUAUCUCUUCCCCUUGCUCCACAUUGGACCCACCCCAUCUUCUAAACGUCAAAAUGGUUUUGGUGUGUGAUUUUUGGGCAUGA